GCGGGUUUAGCUCAGUUGGGAGAGCGUAGCACUGAAGAUUCGCAGAGGUUCUCCACUGGAAUCAGAAUAUGCUAAGGUCGUGUGUUCGAUCCACACAAACCGCA
RNAcentral lists this transfer RNA (104 nucleotides) under Sodiomyces alkalinus F11. It matches the Rfam family "tRNA". From Rfam's summary of the family: Transfer RNA (tRNA) molecules are approximately 80 nucleotides in length. Their secondary structure includes four short double-helical elements and three loops (D, anti-codon, and T loops). Further hydrogen bonds mediate the characteristic L-shaped molecular structure. tRNAs have two regions of fundamental functional importance: the anti-codon, which is responsible for specific mRNA codon recognition, and the 3' end, to which the tRNAs corresponding amino acid is attached (by aminoacyl-tRNA synthetases). tRNAs cope with the degeneracy of the genetic code in two manners: having more than one tRNA (with a specific anti-codon) for a particular amino acid; and 'wobble' base-pairing, i.e. permitting non-standard base-pairing at the 3rd anti-codon position. Lineage: Eukaryota; Fungi; Ascomycota; Sordariomycetes; Glomerellales; Plectosphaerellaceae. The record is from Rfam by way of RNAcentral.